Ceratitis capitata (Mediterranean fruit fly) is the source of this 713-nucleotide long non-coding RNA. RefSeq lists it as uncharacterized. NCBI's taxonomy places the organism in Eukaryota, Metazoa, Arthropoda, Insecta, Diptera, Tephritidae. The record is from RefSeq and is a predicted model, not a curated record. The transcript has 2 exons.
GUGUGAUUGUUGCUCGUUUUUUUUUCAUUCAUAAUUGUGUUUUUUUUUACGAUGUGGUUACCUAUGAAAACACUGAAGGUUUAUCAAUCGAAACAACAAUAUUGUGACGUGAGAAUUAUCAUAGGUAGCAGUGCAUUCAUCAGACUAGCAAUGAAUACAACUCAUUUCCGGCUUGUUCGGACCGCACUGAGUUAAGCUCUUUAAAACCAAUGGCGGUCGACUUAAAAUAAAAGUAUAACAACUACAUAUGUAUAUGUAAACGGUAAAUAUUUUCAUCUAAAUAUUCGGAUGCUGUGUAAGGGAUUAUAAGCUUUAUUUGAUUGUGAAAUAAUACAUAAAAUAAGUAACAUCAAGGUAUAAUUAGUUUUAUUUUGUAUUUGUAUUAUUAUUAUUAUUAUUAUUAUUACUAUUAUAUAUGCAAUUGAGUGAACUACUCCUUACAAUUGAAAUCUAGUUUCAAGUUUAUAAUAUAAAUAAUAGAGAUUGUAUGCAAUCCGUUUUAUAUAUUUUUUUUUUAUUUUUCGUAAUUGUAUGUAAUGUUUAAUUAUGUUGUAAUUUUAUCAUUUGCUUCGCCCAGUAAUAAUAAUCUGCAAACAUUCAUUAGAACGACACUGAAAGUAUUCAGGCUUGAUGUUGUUGAUAUAAAUUUUUAAAGAUCAUUUUGAGCCAUUAUUAUUUAAUCCUUGCCAUUUUUUACUUCAGCUAGAUUAAAA